GUGCUUGCUUUGGCAGCACAUAUACUGAAAUUAUAAGGAUACAGAGAAGAUUAACAUGGCCUAGCCACAAGGAUGAGAUGCAAAUUCAUUAAGUAUUUUAUAUAGAG
Cavia porcellus (domestic guinea pig) is the source of this 107-nucleotide small nuclear RNA. The record is from Ensembl. Lineage: Eukaryota; Metazoa; Chordata; Mammalia; Rodentia; Caviidae.